UACGUAGGGUGCAAGCGUUGUCCGGAAUUAUUGGGCGUAAAGAGCUCGUAGGCGGUCUGUUGCGUCGGCUGUGAAAACCCGGGGCUCAACUCCGGGCCUGCAGCCGAUACGGGCAGACUAGAGUUCGGCAGGGGAGACUGGAAUUCCUGAUGUAGCGGUGAAAUGCGCAGAUAUCAGGAGGAACACCGGUGGCGAAGGCGGGUCUCUGGGCCGAUACUGACGCUGAGGAGCGAAAGCGUGGGGAGCGAACAGG
RNAcentral lists this ribosomal RNA (253 nucleotides) under uncultured bacterium. RNAcentral describes it as "partial 16S ribosomal RNA". It matches the Rfam family "Bacterial small subunit ribosomal RNA", at positions 524 to 776 of the family's 1533-position model. The record is from RNAcentral.